AACGACGAAUCAAAGAAUUCAACUUUAUAUACAACUAAUAUAAUACAAAGGUGUAGAUUAAAAAUUACACCACUCCAGGCCCUUUUGUUUUCCACGUAAUUAAUAUUGCCAAUAAUUAGGAAGUUCCGGGUCGAGUCCGAUACCGAUACCAAUAGUAUAAUCACCUGUUACCUAUUACCUUAUCUGUACGUUCCGCAUCUGACAGGCGCACCACCAAACGGUGUAAUCAGGAUUAAUAUGCUAUAUACACGGGUCAUCAUCACAGGGUUGACACUACUAAAUUGUCAAAUUGUUACUUAUUGCAGUAUUUUAAUCCGUAAGACUUUCUAAGAUAACAAUACGAAUACUAAAAAUCUGGACUAAAAAUAAGUUUCAAUUUGUUAGCGGGC
This 389-nucleotide long non-coding RNA is filed under the name Mytilus galloprovincialis (Mediterranean mussel). The record is from RNAcentral. Lineage: Eukaryota; Metazoa; Mollusca; Bivalvia; Mytilida; Mytilidae.